UUGGCAGUAGGUAGAUGUCUGAGAACACCUUCUGGGAGGAAUACCUUGAUUCUCCACGAAGCAAACUCAGACUCAGACUUCUAUGACCUGAUAUUCUGUCUUUGCUUCCUGCCUUAGGUUUUUUGUGGUUUUUUUUUAAAUUUAUUUCGACUUCAGGCAAUUUGAAUAUUUUAUCAGUAUCAACAACAACAACAACAUCAAGCUGUAGGAUUCUAUAUCCUCAGUUGUCAACUCCUUAACACAGAGACCCAGGAGAUUAAAAGUGUACAAUCAAGGCUUGAACUAGUGUAUUUUCAUGGACUGUGCUUUCUGAGCCCAUUAAUAGUAAUGAUAUUAUAUGGUUCACUCUAGUCCUUUCCAUGGGCUGCUGCUCAUAUCAGAGCAAGUAAUAAAGAGGCAAAGCCCUCCUGGAUGGAAAUGCAUGGCCUCACUGGAAGGGGUUCAUUUUAAGUAAUGAGCAAUUAUGGAGGAUGCUUGGAAGAAUUACUAUGGUUCUUCAGUCAAGAAACCUGAAGGAUAGUCUGCUCUAGAGCUCUUCAGUCUUCAAGGAUUUCAUGAGUUUUCCAAAACUGCCUUCCCUUGGAUACUGUUAUCCAGAGGAAAUAAUAUUCUAGUUCUGUAGCACAUAUAAGUGAGGGUCAAAUCUUUUAGGGACCUAAUGCUUUCAGAACUAUCUAAAAAGGCAGGAAAUUUGUUUUAUUAGGUAGCCUUAGGUAUGUCAACCUUAAUAAUUUCUUCACCAGUUAACAGUUAUUAACAGUUAUUUCAUCCUUGUUGUUCCUAAUCAAUUCCUCCUCUAAAAUCACAAAUGGAUUCAACAGCUCUAUAUCCACAUGACCCAUGAAGCAGGCAGCAGGUAAUGAAGCAUUCACAAUGAAAGGUCACAAAAUAUUUUGUUUUAUUCCUUUUCUGGGUUUUGGUGUUUUUUAGAAAGUAUUCCUUGGAUUCUUAAGUAUUAUAUAGUAUUUUCUUCUUUAAAAGCAACAGUCUCAAUUUUUUAGGAAGCAUUUCAGCAUUGGGGAAGGAGGUAUCUGAGGAAACUGUUCAAGAGUAUAAAAUAUUUUUAUGUUUAUCUUUAUGUUAAAUGCAAAGAAAACAUGACAGUUCAACCUUGCAUUAUUUUUUCCAGAUCCCACUUUCAUAAGCUUUUAGAAAAAAAUAUAAACUCUAAGACUGAGAAGGUGUUUGUGAUAAUUUAGAAUAUUCUACUGCAUGGAAGGAGUUUCUGUAUGAAAAUGCAUCACUUAAAUUUAUUUAUUUGUUGCCUUUUGUUAAAAUCUCAAAUGAGAAAUAAUUUGUGAUACUGAUAAGGAUCUUCAGAAUUUUUUUGCAUGUGAUAGUUAAAAAAUAUAAUUAGUUUGUAAGUAAAGCUGACUGCCUCGUGUUUUCAUGCAGCAUGAAGGUAUUUUAUGUUUAUAAUAAUUGAAAGUAUAACAUUGUGAGUAAAUUUCAAUAUGCUUUUGUUUCUAAUGCCAGAACAGAGCUCAAAGGGAUGACAGAGUUUGCUGUGCUGUGUGGUUCUUUCUACAUCAAAUGGUGCUGUAUAAUAUAGUUUCCUGAACUUUGGAGAAGAAUGGAAAGCUUUAUGAAAACACAAAAUAGGAGAGAAAACUGUAGAAAAUAGUGCCACAAGGGCACUAUUUUGCAGGUAGAGAGAAUGGGGAAAGUGGAAUGCCACUAUGAUGGUCUUUUCUGUUUGAUGAUCACUGUUUUCCAUAAUUAUCACUUUAGUGAUAAUUACCUCUAGAGGUUGUCUGUUCCAACACCCUCUGCUCAAUGCCUGAUGUUACCGGAGACCCAAAAUGAAAAACUGUCCUUUCAAAAAUCUACAUAAUUUAUGACAUGUAAAUUUAUUGUUAAGCCUCUGAGGAGGUUUUUUUUUUAAUGCUGUUGCCAAAUAUCUUGUGCCCUUACAGAGGAUCAACUUCACCCAAAUGCAAGUUUUUGAACACUUAUAUAAAAUUAAGGUACAGAUUGAUACAACUUGUAACUUGUCCCUUCCAGAGGCAGAAACGGGACUCUCAAAUUAGCUGCAUACAGUAUAGUAAUUUUCAUUACGUGUUAUAUAUGGAGUCCCAUUUUUCUUUUGAUAAAGGUAAAGAAAAGUAUUGGUUUCAGGAAAAUGUGAAGUUCUUACUGCAGAGAAAACAGAGAUAAAAAGGGCAGAGGGAGCAAGAAGAGUUAUUAUGUAAAUUCCUGAAAAUUGGUGUUCACAAUCAACUUUGACCAUUCCUAUUAACAUCUAAGAACUUAUCAUGCAUUUGGUCAUCAGGGGUGCAAUUCAGGUGCCUACACCAUUUGCAUUUACAACCAUUCAGGCAGUCCCAGAGUACAGCUCUGUCUCCGCUUGCUCUUCCUUAGUUUCCUUUAAGUCCUAAGUCUCACUUGCUUGAUCUAAGCAGAAGUUCUAGAACAUCCUAUACAGAAAGAGAUGCAAACAGCACAACAUGGGAAAAUAUCUGACCUGGAACAGAAACAGAAAAAAAAUAUGCUGUCUGUAAGAAUAACUUGCUAUCAUUCUGGAAGUAAUUUUAAGGUUUUUAAUAUAAUUUUCUCUGUGUCUCUAGUAAACGGUUAGGGCUUGUAUUCUGUUGUCUUACAUAGAAACAACAAGCAAUGUGAAGUAAAUCUAUGAAUGCUUUAUGUUUUAGCAAUGAUAAGACAAAUGCAAAGAUUUCCAUCUUUGGCUGUGCACCAAAACCAAGCCUCUUCUAGAAAUUUACAGUCCUGGCCUGACUUUGCAGUGCAGACAGGUACCUACCUUAUCAAUGUUGGGAUUAUUUUUCUUUUUAUUGUAGGACCUUUAUACAAAAGGCAGAACAAACCACAAAGCUGUGUAAUGAAAUCAAAGUAUAUUUUCCAGCAGUAAGUCAGAAAAUCAGCUCAUGGGAACAGAUAUUUUUCUGUAGCUUUCACUGAGUCACUAAGUGUAUGACAAAGGAAACUCUUCUUUGUUCCAGGAGUUGACAUGACAGUAAAUCGUAAGUUUGUCUUCUCCUAAGGUUUAAAAUAAUUUUGUGUAGUAAGAAAAAAGAAGGUGAAGUAGAAACUAUCCUUUUAGGGUGAUGGAGAAAACACAGGUUUUGAGAUAUUUGUUAAACAUCAGAUAAAAAUAACAUGUCCUCAAGAAAAUCCUAGAUGUGACUAGAAGGAUUGGAUAUGAAAAUGUUUGCUCACUGGAGAAGUUAUGAUGGACUGAUUUCCACAGACAUGAUUUGAAACAAGUCAGGUUUGUGGGCCUUU
Passer domesticus (house sparrow) is the source of this 3243-nucleotide long non-coding RNA. RefSeq lists it as uncharacterized. The record is from RefSeq and is a predicted model, not a curated record. The transcript is spliced from 3 exons. NCBI's taxonomy places the organism in Eukaryota, Metazoa, Chordata, Aves, Passeriformes, Passeridae.